Molecule: long non-coding RNA, 1713 nt
Filed under: Equus asinus (donkey)
Lineage: Eukaryota; Metazoa; Chordata; Mammalia; Perissodactyla; Equidae
Description: lncRNA (ENSEASG00005027422.1)
Source: RNAcentral
AUUUAUUUUGCAUGAGAAAUUGCUUGGUAAAUAUUUAUGUUUCCUCUAUUAUUGUAUUUAAGCAUGUUUUUGUUGCAAGUAACAGUAACUGACUGACUAUGCCGUAAGCAGAGAUGGAAAAGAUCAGAGGAGUCUCGGGAAACCCAGGAGGCAGAGCAGCAGAGAGGCCAGGCAGCACGGCUUUCUCUUUGCAGCGUAGAUGUGAGAAACGAGCGACGGGAGAAACAGUUUGGCCUCAGUGGAGACAGAUCCACUUGGCAUCAACUGUGGCCAAGGGGGCAGAUGGCACGCUAGACGCUGAGCGGCUGCAAGCCUGGCUUGGACCGUCAGGGAAGAAGCCAACAAAUGACAUUUCUGGUGAAGUCACGACAACGCAGUGUGCAUGGGGUAAAAAAUGGUUCCAUCGCCAAGAGCGUUAAGUUCUGCUCGUCAAUGAGGCAACUCGGACUUGACAGUUGAGGGUGUCAGGCCAACAUUCCUUCAGUGCAGAAAGAGCGAGCAGAGGGUCAGCUGUAGAAGCAAAGGUGUAGACAAUGAAAUCAAAUAGAUGACGUGGAGAGACCCAGUGUGCUCAAUCCACGGGAACUGCGAAAACCUUCUCGUCAGUGUGGUGGACUGAGCCCCACACGCUAAACAUGCUGGACGAAAUACACUGAGGGAAAAAGUUUUAAAUACAUCCCCAGGAGCACACACAGAAAGGAAAAUCCCCAGGUGCCUAAGCCAAGGAAACCAGCAUAAGAAGAGUCACCAGCUGCCGAAGAGGUGGGCAGGGGACCGAGGGCUGGCCAACCAAAAUGCACCCCUGCUGGCCACAGGGGUGAGUAUAAGAAAGUACAGUCUGAAGAAGGGCGGGUGCCCCAAGCUCGUCCCUACGUAUCUUUCCUGGAACUUUUUUCUGGAACUACCAGCACAAUCACUUUUUCUCCCUCCACUGGAGCUGCUAAGCUGUGUGGAUUUAGAGCUAGGAUUCUGGGCAUUGGCUUGUCCAGCAUGUGGAGAAAGUCUGCUGGAAAAUGGAGAGAAAUAUGGUCUCCUGAGGGCAUUGUUUGAGCCCCUGAAGCCACAUAAGCCCCUGGAUCGGUCGAUAAUGCACGUCAAUGAAUCCUUUUGUUCCUAAGCUAGUUCAAGUUGGAUUUGUAUACUAACCCAAUCAACCACCGCCUCCACUUCCCAAUCCUGCUGACCUCCUCGAGAGAACAACUGUCAACAGUUGGUGAAACUGCCCACCUGCCCUCACAAGGAAAAUACAGCAGACGUGACGCCAAGACACUUCCGAGACCAGGAUGGGCAAGGCAGCACAGCUUCUGACUGACCCCUGCUCUCCACAGAUGCUCCCCUCUGGGACUCGGCCACCUGUGGAGACCAGACAGGUGCUCCUGCAACAUCUUCAGCUGAGUCUCAGCUGGAAGCCAGCGCCAACCACCAUUCACAUGAGUGAGCAAGCCUGCAGGUGAUUCCAGCCCCAGGGGACGCCGAGUGAGCACAGCCGAGCGUCCCCACCCAGCCCUGUGCAAGUCACCGAUUCCUGAGCAAAUUAAUUUUGGGGCGGUUUGCUAGAUAGCAGUAGAUGACCAGAACCACGCUUAUGCAGACAUAGUUUGCUUUGAUUUGCUUUUUAUAUAAACAGGAUCAUAGCCUAUUGAUCUUCAACUAGCUAAUUUUUUUCGUGUGUAACACUUUGCCCUGGGGUUCUCUCCAUGUCAACAAAUAAAG